RNAcentral lists this non-coding RNA (31 nucleotides) under Mus musculus (house mouse). Lineage: Eukaryota; Metazoa; Chordata; Mammalia; Rodentia; Muridae. The record is from RNAcentral.
UGCCUUAGGAAAGAAUUGAGAUUUCUCUCUU